GACGAACGCUGGCGGCGUGCUUAACACAUGCAAGUCGAACGGAAAGGCCCUGCUUUUGUGGGGUGCUCGAGUGGCGAACGGGUGAGUAACACGUGAGUAACCUGCCCUUGACUUUGGGAUAACUUCAGGAAACUGGGGCUAAUACCGGAUAGGAGCUCCUGCUGCAUGGUGGGGGUUGGAAAGUUUCGGCGGUUGGGGAUGGACUCGCGGCUUAUCAGCUUGUUGGUGGGGUAGUGGCUUACCAAGGCUUUGACGGGUAGCCGGCCUGAGAGGGUGACCGUCCACAUUGGGACUGAGAAACGGCCCAGACUCCUACGGGAGGCAGCAGUGAGGAAUAUUGCACAAUGUGCGGAAGCCUGAUGCAGCAACACCGCGUGCGGGAUGACGGCCUUCGGGUUGUAACCCGCUUUCGCCUGUGACGAUGCGUGAGUGACGGUAAUGGGUAAAGAAGCACCGGCUAACUACGUG
This 468-nucleotide ribosomal RNA is filed under the name uncultured bacterium. RNAcentral's name for it is "partial 16S ribosomal RNA". It matches the Rfam family "Bacterial small subunit ribosomal RNA", at positions 28 to 507 of the family's 1533-position model. The record is from RNAcentral.